UACGUAGGGUGCGAGCGUUGUCCGGAUUUACUGGGCGUAAAGAGCGCGUAGGCGGUUCGUUAAGUGUAGAGUGAAAUCUCUGGGCUCAACCCAGGGCCUGCAUCGGAAACUGUCGGGCUUGAGUAUGGGAGAGGUGAGUGGAAUUUCCGGUGUAGCGGUGAAAUGCGUAGAUAUCGGAAGGAACACCUGUGGCGAAAGCGGCUCACUGGACCAUUACUGACGCUGAGGCACGAAAGCUAGGGGAGCAAACAGG
Molecule: ribosomal RNA, 253 nt
Filed under: uncultured bacterium
Lineage: Bacteria
Description: partial 16S ribosomal RNA
Rfam family: Bacterial small subunit ribosomal RNA
Source: RNAcentral